RNAcentral lists this ribosomal RNA (970 nucleotides) under uncultured bacterium. RNAcentral's name for it is "bacterial SSU rRNA". It matches the Rfam family "Bacterial small subunit ribosomal RNA", at positions 8 to 982 of the family's 1533-position model. The record is from RNAcentral.
AGAGUUUGAUCAUGGCUCAGAACGAACGCUGGCGGCGUGCUUAACACAUGCAAGUCGCGUGCGCAGUUUCCGUAGCAAUACGGGGAUGGGCGCACGGCGCACGGGUGCGUAACACGUGGGCAAUCUGCCCUCCGAUGGGGAAUACCCCCGCGAAAGCGGGACUAAUUCCGCAUAACAUUCCUUGGAUUAACUUUCGAGGAUUCAAAGCAGCAAUGCGUCGGAGGAGGAGCCCGCGCCCGAUUAGCUAGUUGGCGAGGUAACGGCUCACCAAGGCAAUGAUCGGUAGCUGGUCUGAGAGGAUGGCCAGCCACACUGGAACUGAGACACGGUCCAGACUCCUACGGGAGGCAGCAGUGGGGAAUCUUGCACAAUGGGCGAAAGCCUGAUGCAGCGACGCCGCGUGGGGGAUGAAGCUUUUCGGAGUGUAAACCCCUUUCGACUGGGACGAAUGCCUCGCAAGAGGAGUGACGGUACCAGUAUAAGAAGCCCCGGCUAACUACGUGCCAGCAGCCGCGGUAAGACGUAGGGGGCCAGCGUUGUUCGGAAUUACUGGGUGUAAAGGGUUCGUAGGCGGUGUGGCAAGUCGGGAGUGAAAUCUCUGGGCUCAACCCAGAGACUGCUUCCGAAACUGCUGUGCUUGAGUGUGAGAGAGGCUCGUGGAAUUGCAGGUGUAGCGGUGAAAUGCGUAGAUAUCUGCAGGAACACCCGUGGCGAAAGCGGCGAGCUGGAUCACUACUGACGCUGAGGAACGAAAGCUAGGGGAGCAAACAGGAUUAGAUACCCUGGUAGUCCUAGCCCUAAACGAUCAGGACUUGGGGUGCCGCCCGUUCGGGCGUCGUCCCGGAGCUAACGCGUUAAGUCCUGCACCUGGGGAGUACGGUCGCAAGACUGAACUCAAGGAUUGACGGGGCCCGCACAGCGGUGGACAUGUGGUUCAUUCGACGCUACGCGAGGAACCUUACCUGGGCUC